CUCGGAUGAAAUAACGUAGGUAAGGGAAGUCGGCAAAAUAGAUCUGAAACUUCGGGAAAAAGAUUGGCUCAAAAAAGUUGAUAGGAAAACUAUGUUAAAAGUAGUUUUCUGUUAACACCUUUUUUGAACUGUUUUCGGACAAGGGGAUUCCGACUGUUUAAUUAAAACAAAGCAUUGUGAAGGCCUGUGAUUUGGUGAUAACACAAUGUGAUUUCUGCUCAGUGCUCUGAAUGUUAAAGUGAAGAAAUUCAAUCAAGCGCGGGUAAACAGCGGGAGUAACUAUGACUCUCUUAAGGUAGCCAAAUGCCUCGUCAUUUAAUUAGUGACGCGCAUGAAUGGAUUAACGAGAUUCCCACUGUCCCUAUCUACAAUUUAGCGAACCCACAGCGCGGGGAACGGGCCGCGAAAAGUUGGCGGGGAAAGAAGACCCUGUUGAGUUUGACUCUAGUUUAAUGUUGUGAAACAUCUCGAGAGAUGUAGAAUAAGUGGGAGAUCAGUAAAAUGAUCAACGGUGAAAUACCACUGCUCUCGACGAUAUUUUACUUAGAAAGUUAAAAGGGGAAGAAAAUUUGUGUAACAAUAAAUUAUUCUUUAUUCUUGAUUUAAAUCAGUAUAUAUUUCUUACUGAUAACCCUUCUCCUUUCAAUCGCAUUAAAUCGGAAGUUUGGCUGGGGCGGCAUACCUGUUACAAAAUAACGCAGGUGUCCAAAAUGGAGCUCAAUGAGAACAGAAAUCUCAUGUAGACCAAAAGGGGAAAAGCUCCACUGAUUUGUGAUUUUCAGUACGAAUACAAAACGUGAAAGCGUGGCCUUCGAUCCUUUAUGUAUUAAGCGAAUGAUUAUGUCAGGUCCUUAUUUCAAUACUAUACAAUUUUAGUCUAGAGGUGUCAGAAAAAUUACCACAGGGAUAACUGGCUUGUGGCUGCCAAGCGUCCAAAGCGACGUAGCUUUUUGAUCCUUCGAUGUCGGCUCUUCCUAGCAUGACGAAGCAGAAUUCGUCAAGUGUCGGAUUGUUCACCCGCUAAUAGGGAACGUGAGCUGGGUUUAGACCGUCGUGAGACAGGUUAGUUUUACCCUACCAACAAAGUUUUGAAGUAUUUAUAAUAUCUUAUUGUUAUAGUAAUUGAACAUAGUACGAGAGGAACAGUUCAUUCAGACCACUGGAAAUGCGGUUGUUUGAAAACACAGUGCCGCGAGGCUACGUCUGUGGGAUAACGGUUGAACGCCUCUAAAUCGGAAACCUUGCUAGAUUUU
This 1253-nucleotide ribosomal RNA is filed under the name metagenome. RNAcentral's name for it is "eukaryotic LSU rRNA". It matches the Rfam family "Eukaryotic large subunit ribosomal RNA", at positions 1889 to 3155 of the family's 3401-position model. The record is from RNAcentral.